Non-coding RNA from Ophiophagus hannah (king cobra), 88 nucleotides. Lineage: Eukaryota; Metazoa; Chordata; Lepidosauria; Squamata; Elapidae. The record is from Rfam.
CCCCAGCCUCUGUUUGAUAUGUUUGAUAUUAGGUUGUUCUACUGCAAAAUCCAACUAAAUAUCAAACAUAUUCUGAUAGCGGCCGGGA